RNAcentral lists this ribosomal RNA (406 nucleotides) under uncultured bacterium. RNAcentral's name for it is "partial 16S ribosomal RNA". It matches the Rfam family "Bacterial small subunit ribosomal RNA", at positions 28 to 526 of the family's 1533-position model. The record is from RNAcentral.
GACGAACGCUGGCGGCGUGCCUAAUACAUGCAAGUCGAACGCAGUUGCGAACGGGGGAGUAAAGCGUAGGUAACCGCCUCAAUGCGGGGGAUCAAUAUUGGAAACGAUUGCUAAUACCGCCAACUGUGAGACGGAUCUGCUUUGCAUUAGUUAGUUGGUGAGGUAAAGGCUCACCAAGGCGACGAUACAUAGCCGACCGGAUAGGGUGAUCGGCCACACUGGGACUGAGACACGGCCCAGACUCCUACGGGAGGCAGCAGUAGGGAAUAUUGGGCAAUGGGCGGAAGUCUGACGGAGCAACGCCGCGGGAGUGAAGAAGGUUUUCGGAUCGUAAAGCUCUGUUGUUAGAGAAGCGUAAACUAACAAGAAAGGGACGGCUAACUCCGUGCCAGCAGCCGCGGAAUAC